AAGAAAAGAGAAUGGGUCAUGCAGGAGCAAUAGUAAUGGGAACAUAUGGUUCGGCAGAAUCCAAAGUUUCAAUGUUCAACAAAGCAAACA
This 90-nucleotide transfer RNA is filed under the name Candidatus Nitrosarchaeum limnium SFB1. RNAcentral's name for it is "tRNA-Val". The record is from RNAcentral. Lineage: Archaea; Thermoproteati; Nitrososphaerota; Nitrososphaeria; Nitrosopumilales; Nitrosopumilaceae.